This 511-nucleotide long non-coding RNA is filed under the name Parus major (Great Tit). RNAcentral describes it as "lncRNA (ENSPMJG00000000882.1)". Lineage: Eukaryota; Metazoa; Chordata; Aves; Passeriformes; Paridae. The record is from RNAcentral.
GUUUGAGCCGGGGAGAUGAUCAGCUUGGCUUUGGUCCUUCUUCCUGUUUAAGGGCUGUGAUGGAUUCCCUUUUGUCCUUGUGUGGGUUUUUCAGUUUGGGAAUGUGUUUAGGAAAACAGUGAACUGUGAACUUCUUCUGACAGGGUAACAUUUAGAAAUAUGGAUUUCCUGGGAGUUUUGAAAGGCUGGAUUUGAUUGGAGAGGUCUAGUGGAGGUACCAGAACACUCAAGUGCAAUGAUUUUCUUUCAGCACCUGAGUUUGAACAGAAACCUGACCCCUGUCCUGCUGACAGAGGUUUAUCAAGCAUAUCUUAGUGGGAGCUGCUGCAGGCAGAGCACACGUUCUUCUGGACAAACUCCUGACCUUCAGCCCUUUCUGUCUGGAAACGCCGUGUGGGGAGGUUUUGGAGUAGAGGAGGACUUCAGAAGCACACUUUGUAGAGUAGAGGAGAACUUUGGAAGCUCCAAGUCAGUACUCAGGAGAGGGCAACCCUGCCCAAAGGAGCCUUAA